Molecule: ribosomal RNA, 253 nt
Filed under: uncultured bacterium
Lineage: Bacteria
Also listed under: 2 other names
Description: partial 16S ribosomal RNA
Rfam family: Bacterial small subunit ribosomal RNA
Source: RNAcentral
UACGUAGGGGGCAAGCGUUGUUCGGAAUUACUGGGCGUAAAGGGCGCGUAGGCGGCACGGCAAGUCGGGAGUGAAAGCCCGGGGCUCAACCCCGGAGGGUCUCUCGAAACUGCCGAGCUAGAGUGCGGAAGAGGCAAUCGGAAUUCCCAGUGUAGCGGUGAAAUGCGUAGAUAUUGGGAAGAACACCGGAGGCGAAGGCGGAUUGCUGGGCCGACACUGACGCUGAGGCGCGAAAGCCAGGGGAGCAAACGGG